Molecule: ribosomal RNA, 351 nt
Filed under: Triticum aestivum (bread wheat)
Lineage: Eukaryota; Viridiplantae; Streptophyta; Magnoliopsida; Poales; Poaceae
Description: partial small subunit ribosomal RNA
Source: RNAcentral
AUGAAACCAUCGCCAAUGGAUCUGCAGAUCGUGGGACGGCACGCGUUGCUCUUUGACGACGACGCGGCGGCGGAGGUCGUAAACUCCGGCGGUUCCCUUGUCCCCUGGUCCGUCGCCGGCGCGGCCGAUCUCCUCCUUGACCGCCACGACGUCCGCCACCUCCUCAACCGCGUCCCUCCUCAUUCAAAUCGCGCCUACUCUGUGGCCCUCCUCUCAACCCCCUCUCCUGAUGGCGUGUCCGAGGCUGAGCUUGACCGCGAGCGCUUCCUCGACCUCACCGCCGACGUCGGCACUGGAGACGCGUCCCCUUCAGGUAUAAACCCCUCUACCCUCUGUGCUUAUUGUAUAUGA